UUAAAUUGAAGAGUUUGAUCAUGGCUCAGAUUGAACGCUGGCGGCAGGCCUAACACAUGCAAGUCGAACGGUAACAGGAAGAAGCUUGCUUCUUUGCUGACGAGUGGCGGACGGGUGAGUAAUGUCUGGGAAACUGCCUGAUGGAGGGGGAUAACUACUGGAAACGGUAGCUAAUACCGCAUAACGUCGCAAGACCAAAGAGGGGGACCUUCGGGCCUCUUGCCAUCGGAUGUGCCCAGAUGGGAUUAGCUAGUAGGUGGGGUAACGGCUCACCUAGGCGACGAUCCCUAGCUGGUCUGAGAGGAUGACCAGCCACACUGGAACUGAGACACGGUCCAGACUCCUACGGGAGGCAGCAGUGGGGAAUAUUGCACAAUGGGCGCAAGCCUGAUGCAGCCAUGCCGCGUGUAUGAAGAAGGCCUUCGGGU
This 428-nucleotide ribosomal RNA is filed under the name Escherichia coli. Its description in RNAcentral is "bacterial SSU rRNA". It matches the Rfam family "Bacterial small subunit ribosomal RNA", at positions 1 to 423 of the family's 1533-position model. The record is from RNAcentral. Lineage: Bacteria; Pseudomonadati; Pseudomonadota; Gammaproteobacteria; Enterobacterales; Enterobacteriaceae.